UUGCACUUUUCAAGUUUAAUGUCAUCACAUUUAUCUAUUUGGGGAUUUGAUGUCUAUGGUUUGUACAUCUCCAAAAACUCAACUGAACUCAAUUCAUAUUUUUUCUAAGUUCUACAAAGGACUUAUAUUUACAUUAUUGUCAUACUUUGAGUUAGUUUUGUAAAUGAUGGCAGAGAGGAAGUCUGACUACAUUUAUUUAUAUGAGAAGCCCAGUUGUCACAGGGCCAUCUACUGAAACGCCAUUCUUCCUCCACUGGACAGACUUAGUGACCUCAUCUAGAGUCCAGCUGACCACAGAUGUGAAGGCUUCCUUCUAGAAUCAUGCAUUUCUAUUCCACUGGCCUGAAUGACAGUCUACAUGUCCAUGUCACACUAUUUUGACUGCUGUGGCUUUGUAGCAAGUUUUGAAAUCAGGACUUCUGUGCUUACAGAGUCCAGAAGACGGUGCCCCCACACCCUUGGAACUGGAGUUACAGACAGUU
This 482-nucleotide long non-coding RNA is filed under the name Cricetulus griseus (Chinese hamster). RNAcentral's name for it is "lncRNA (ENSCGRG00015029460.1)". Lineage: Eukaryota; Metazoa; Chordata; Mammalia; Rodentia; Cricetidae. The record is from RNAcentral.